This 846-nucleotide long non-coding RNA is filed under the name Salmo salar (Atlantic salmon). Its description in RNAcentral is "lncRNA (ENSSSAG00000092138.1)". The record is from RNAcentral. Lineage: Eukaryota; Metazoa; Chordata; Actinopteri; Salmoniformes; Salmonidae.
UAAUAUCAGAACAUCAGACAUGUUAAUAUGUGUUGUAGUGGUUUAAUAAUAUCAGAACAUCGGACAUGUUAAUAUGUGUUGUAGUGGUUUAAUAAUAUCAGAACAUCAGACAUGUUAAUAUGUGUUGUAGUGGUUUAAUAAUAUCAGAAUAUCAGACAUGUUAAUAUGUGGAUGGGCAUUACUCUGGAUCAGAAGGUUGGGUUUUGGUUGGGGAGAUGGAUGGGCAUUACUCUGGAUCAGAAGGUUGGGUUUUGGUUGGGGAGGUUGAUGGGCAUUACUCUGGAUCAGAAGGUUGGGUUUUGGUUGGGGAGGUGGAUGGGCAUUACUCUGGAUCAGAAGGUUGGGUUUUGGUUGGGGAGGUGGAUGGGCAUUACUCUGGAUCAGAAGGUUGGGUUUUGGUUGGGGAGGUGGAUGGGCAUUACUCUGGAUCAGAAGGUUGGGUUUUGGUUGGGGAGGUUGAUGGGCAUUACUCUGGAUCAGAAGGUUGGGUUUUGGGUUGGGGAGAUGGAUGGGCAUUACUCUGGAUCAGAAGGUUGGGUUUUGGUUGGGGAGGUGGAUGGGCAUUACUCUGGAUCAGAAGGUUGGGUUUUGGUUGGGGAGGUGGAUGGGCAUUACUCUGGAUCAGAAGGUUGGGUUUUGGUUGGGGAGACGGAUGGGCAUUACUCUGGAUCAGAAGGUUGGGUUUUGUUGGGGAGGUUGAUGGGCAUUACUCUGGAUCAGAAGGUUGGGUUUUGGUUGGGGAGGUUGAUGGGCAUUACUCUGGAUCAGAAGGUUGGGUUUUGGUUGGGGAGGUGGAUGGGCAUUACUCUGGAUCAGAAGGUUGGGUGUCUGAUCCCAGUAUUUUUU